This is a non-coding RNA of Rhodocollybia butyracea, 105 nucleotides long. NCBI's taxonomy places the organism in Eukaryota, Fungi, Basidiomycota, Agaricomycetes, Agaricales, Omphalotaceae. The record is from the annotation of a GenBank genome assembly.
GCCCGCCUAGCUCAAUCGGAUAGAGCGUCAGACUCUUAUCGAAGUCCCAUAGUCGUAUUACUUAGGCGGAUCUGAAGGCUGCGAGUUCGACCCUCGCGGUGGGCU